AAGCCAGGCCUCUUCACCUGGCCAGAUGGGCUUUUUGUGGAUGGGUUACUUUGGCCAUUGGCCGCUGCAGGCAUUGGCCGGUUAUCAUCCUCCAAGUGGCCAAGUGUGGUGUUGGCUUCAUUUCCCGACAGGGUCUUGGCUGUGUGAAGAAUUGUGAAGUGCCAGGGAAACCAAUGGUCGUGGCUUCCUGGGACCCGGGAAAGAGUUAGGGCUCCUGCCCCCAUCACCUCUCGGCACUUCCUCCUGGGCACGCGGGCUACUGUGCAGGCACGGUGGCUUCAGGCAUAUGCAACCCCCACUCCCAGGCAUUAGCUGCAAGCACCUCUUUGUUUUCAAAAAGCACAUUCCUAUUUCUCCAGUUUGGACAAAAUACACAGAAGAACCUGAUGUGACCUUCUAGGGCAACGGGCUUCAACCUUCACUGCAUAUUAGAACCGGCCGAGAAGACUGAAAAAUUCCGGAGCUCAGCCCCAUUUAGGCCAAUGAAAAGCGUCUCCAGGCCUCAGUGUCUGGACGGCUCCUCAAGUGAUUCCAGUGCCCACCAAGGUGGAGCCACGCUGACCCAGGCAGCGCCUCUCCCAGUCGCUUGUGCAUAAGAAUUGUCCACGGGAUGCAUUACAACACAGCUUCUGAAGCCCCAGCCCCAGAAUGUGGAGUCAGUGUUUCUAGGGCUGGGCCUGAGAGGAGGCGUUGUUAACGAGCCCCAGGUGAUGCUGCUGCUGCCUGUCCACGGACCACACACUGAGCAGCUCUGUUCCAGAGCUUUGCUACUCAGUGCGCAGUCCGUGGAGCAGGAGCCCGGGCAUCACCCAGGAACUCAUUAGAAAUUAAAAAUCUUGAGCUGUCUCAGACCUGUUACAUCAACAUCCGUGUUUUAAAAAGGGCUCUAGGAAAUCUAGUUGCACAGCAAGGAUCGAAAAGCGUUAACACGUAGGGUGCAGACGUGCAGCCCCUGGGCCAAAGUUAGCUGGCAGAUGUAUACCACCCUGGCUUGCACAGUAUUUUUUAAAAUUUGGAAUUAAUUUACACUUUAAAAUUGGGAUUUCUGACUUCUCUUGAAAAACUGGAAGAUCUAGCAAUACUGGGCGUCCGUUCUCACGUGGUGACAACUGGAGACAGAAUGGACGUGCUCCAAGCUGCUGCAGAAUGACUUCGUUCACUAAGGGUGUCUGCAGGGCCUCUGCUGGCCCUGACAUCUGCAGCUCCUGGUUCAUGCCCUCCCCUCCCCGGUCCCUCCCCAGCCGGAUGACUGCUCCCAAGCAUUUUUUCUUGAGCCCACCUACUUUAUCUCUCUGUACUUCCCUCUAUUCAUCUGUAAAAUGGGUCGAUAGCACCUAUUCAGGCUUCUGAUCUGGAUGAAAUGGAGAUGGAGGUCACGCUUUAAGGUCCAUACCUCUGUUUUACACACGAGUUGAUCCUAUACCCAGAGUUUCCCCAAGCAAGAUCCCUGGACCAGCAGCACUAACAUCAGUGGGGAACUUGUUAGAAAUACAAACUUUCAGGCCCCACUCUAGACCCAAACGCUUGAUGAAUUACCAGGCAUUUCAGGAGAGAGUGGAAUUCUGCGUGGAUUUCACCAGGAUCAAAAUCCCAUCAUGAGCUCCAUAAUUAUGUGGAGAAAGUUCAACCAAGAUCCAUGGGUGACUGAUGUUUUGCAGGUGACAGAGACCAAGGGAAAAGGCUAGUGUGUGUGGGAUGGAGCCUCCACAGCUUACUUCCUCCGGCUGCCCGACACCUCCCAGCUGCGGGCUCACCUCUGCGCCCAUCCUGAGCCAAUGAGCUGGGCUGAGACUUGGUGUCUGGAUAACCCACCCUGAGCCUGGGCGUUCACAGGCUCAUAAGACAGACUGCUGCUACUUUCACCACAUCAGCCCAAUCCACAUAAAGCGUCUUCUGCCUCAGUUUCCCUAGCAGGCAUUUGAGAUCUGAAUGGACAGAUCCACAGCCAAUGCCAUUGCCAUCUGCCUGUGCUGACUUUGGGUACUGCCUGCUGCCUGGGCUCCCCUGAUCUCACCCUCUCCAUUGGAUUGGGCUCCUCAGGUCACGCUAUUUCCUCAGCGGAGCCUGAAACUGCUGCCCCCGUUGAGUCACUGUACAUUUGGGACUGGGCCAGCUCUAGAGUGAGGUCAGUUUCCUUGACCCCUGCCUCUCUCCCUGUCUACACUGGCUGAAUUCCUGUUGUCCAAAGAUGCCUAUGACCAGAGCCUGCCCAAGUAAUAGCAGAGAACUGGGGACAUAUGGCCUUUGGAAGGGAAACUGUGAUUGAAGGAUUGAGGACGUUAGAACCAUCAAAGGGCCAACUAGAUAAAGAGCAAAUAACUCUUGUGAUUUUAUUCGGUGCGGCCUGACAUUCUAGAUAUUGAAGGGGGUAAUGAGUGGCACGGCUGAGGAUGGGAAGGCAGGGGUCAUGGAAGUUCACAGAGGCAAGGGCAUCAGGGAUGCUCACGAGAACCAGCAAAGUGGCUAACCUUGGGCUGAAACAAGCAAGGCCAGAGAGGUGUGAGCACGGAGAUCCUGAGCU
Long non-coding RNA from Equus caballus (horse), 2521 nucleotides. The record is from Ensembl. Lineage: Eukaryota; Metazoa; Chordata; Mammalia; Perissodactyla; Equidae.